This 254-nucleotide ribosomal RNA is filed under the name uncultured bacterium. RNAcentral's name for it is "partial 16S ribosomal RNA". It matches the Rfam family "Bacterial small subunit ribosomal RNA", at positions 524 to 776 of the family's 1533-position model. The record is from RNAcentral.
UACGUAGGGGGGCAAGCGUUGUCCGGAAUCAUUGGGCGUAAAGAGCGUGUAGGCGGUCCGGUCAGUCGGUUGUGAAAGUCAAGGGCUCAACCCUUGAAUGCCGGCCGAUACUGCCGGGCUAGAGUCCGGAAGAGGUGAGUGGAAUUCCUGGUGUAGCGGUGAAAUGCGCAGAUAUCAGGAGGAACACCAAUUGCGAAGGCAGCUCGCUGGGACGUUACUGACGCUGAGACGCGAAAGCGUGGGGAGCAAACAGG